CCUACGGGAGGCAGCAGUGGGGGAUAUUGCACAAUGGGGGAAACCCUGAUGCAGCGACGCCGCGUGGGCGAAGAAGUAUUUAGGUAUGUAAAGCCCUAUCAGCCGGGAAGAAGAAAUGACGGUACCUGAGUAAGAAGCACCGGCUAAAUACGUGCCAGCAGCCGCGGUAAUACGGAUGGUGCAAGCGUUAUCCGGAUUUACUGGGUGUACAGGGAGCGCAGGCGGCACGGCAAGCCGAAUGUGAAAGCUAGCGGCCCAACCGCGGUAGUGCAUGGGGAACUAGCGGGCUGGAGUGCCGGAGAGGUAGGCGGAAUGCGGAGUGUAGCGGUGAAAGGCGUAGAUAUUAGGAGGAACACCAGUGGCGAAGGCGGCCUACUGGACGGUGACUGACGCUGAGGCUCGAAAGCGUGGGGAGCAAACAGGAUUAGAUACCCGAGUAGUC
RNAcentral lists this ribosomal RNA (442 nucleotides) under uncultured bacterium. Its description in RNAcentral is "partial 16S ribosomal RNA". It matches the Rfam family "Bacterial small subunit ribosomal RNA", at positions 338 to 795 of the family's 1533-position model. The record is from RNAcentral.